AAAAAGAUAAGCUAAGUUUAAGCUUUUGGGCUCAUACCCCAUCGAUGAAUAAAUUCUCUUUUUA
Molecule: transfer RNA, 64 nt
Filed under: Penthicodes atomaria
Lineage: Eukaryota; Metazoa; Arthropoda; Insecta; Hemiptera; Fulgoridae
Description: tRNA-Met
Source: RNAcentral